GACGAACGCUGGCGGCGUGCUUAACACAUGCAAGUCGAACGGAAAGGCCCUGCUUUUGUGGUGUGCUCGAGUGGCGAACGGGUGAGUAACACGUGAGUAACCUGCCCUUGACUUUGGGAUAACUUCAGGAAACUGGGGCUAAUACAGUAUAGGAUCCCCUGCUGCAUGGUGGGGGUGGGAAAGUUGCGGCGGUUGGGGAUGGACUCGCGGCUUAUCAGCUUGCUGGUGGGGGAGUGGCUUACCAAGGCUUUGACGGGUAGCCGGCACGAGAGGGUGACCGGCCACCUUAGGCCUGCGAUAGGGACCAGAGUCCAAUGGUAGGCAGCAGUCGGGAAUAUUGCACAGUGGGCGGGCGCGUGAUGCAAAAACGUCGCGUUCGGGAUGCCGGCCUUCGGGUUGUAAAACGCUUUCGCUUGUGACGAAGCGUGAGUGACGGUAAUGGGUAAAGAAGCACCGGCUAACUACGUG
This 468-nucleotide ribosomal RNA is filed under the name uncultured bacterium. RNAcentral describes it as "partial 16S ribosomal RNA". It matches the Rfam family "Bacterial small subunit ribosomal RNA", at positions 28 to 507 of the family's 1533-position model. The record is from RNAcentral.